This 253-nucleotide ribosomal RNA is filed under the name uncultured bacterium. RNAcentral describes it as "partial 16S ribosomal RNA". It matches the Rfam family "Bacterial small subunit ribosomal RNA", at positions 524 to 776 of the family's 1533-position model. The record is from RNAcentral.
UACGGAGGGUGCAAGCGUUAUCUGGAUUCACUGGGUUUAAAGGGUGCGUAGGUGGGUAUGUAAGUCAGUGGUGAAAUCCCCGAGCUUAACUUGGGAACUGCCGUUGAUACUAUAUAUCUUGAAUAUCGCGUAGGUAAGCGGAAUAUGUCAUGUAGCGGUGAAAUGCUUAGAUAUGACAUAGAACACCAAUUGCGAAGGCAGCUUACUUCACGAUUAUUGACACUGAGGCACGAAAGCGUGGGGAGCAAACAGG